Unclassified non-coding RNA from Pongo abelii (Sumatran orangutan), 148 nucleotides. It matches the Rfam family "Metazoan signal recognition particle RNA". Rfam says of the family: The signal recognition particle (SRP) is a universally conserved ribonucleoprotein. It is involved in the co-translational targeting of proteins to membranes. The eukaryotic SRP consists of a 300-nucleotide 7S RNA and six proteins: SRPs 72, 68, 54, 19, 14, and 9. The record is from Ensembl. Lineage: Eukaryota; Metazoa; Chordata; Mammalia; Primates; Hominidae.
GCUGGGCGUGGUGGCGGACGCCUGUAAUCCCAGCUACUUGGGAGGCUGAGGCAGGAGAAUUGCUUGAGCCUGGGAGGUGGAGGUUGCAGUGAGCCAAGAUCAAGCCAUGGCACUCCAGCCUAGGCAACAAAGCAAGACUCCAUCUCAA